GGCACGAAAGCAUGGGGAGCAAACAGGAUUAGAUACCCUGGUAGUCCAUGCUGUAAACGAUGUCGAUUUGAAGGUUGUAGCCUUUUGAGCCAUGGCUUUCGAAGCUAACGCGUUAAAUCGACCGCCUGGGGAGUACGACCGCAAGGUUAAAACUCAAAUGAAUUGACGGGGGCCCGCACAAGCGGUGGAGCAUGUGGUUUAAUUCGAUGCAACGCGAAGAACCUUACCUACUCUUGACAUCCAGAGAAUUUAGCAG
Molecule: ribosomal RNA, 256 nt
Filed under: Candidatus Curculioniphilus buchneri endosymbiont of Curculio nucum
Lineage: Bacteria; Pseudomonadati; Pseudomonadota; Gammaproteobacteria; Enterobacterales; Enterobacteriaceae
Description: partial 16S ribosomal RNA
Rfam family: Bacterial small subunit ribosomal RNA
Source: RNAcentral